Molecule: ribosomal RNA, 1348 nt
Filed under: metagenome
Description: bacterial LSU rRNA
Rfam family: Bacterial large subunit ribosomal RNA
Source: RNAcentral
ACGAGAGUCUACGGACUCGAAGUGUGUGAUGUCAGGCUUCCAAGAAAAUCCCGGAUCACGAUAAUCCAAAUUACCCGUACCCGAAACCGACACAGGCAGGAUGGUUGAGAAAACUAAAGGGCGCGAGAUAACUCUCUCUAAGGAACUCGGCAAAAUGACCCCGUAACUUCGGGAGAAGGGGUGCCACCGAGAGGUGGUCGCAGUGAAGAGGCCCAAGCGACUGUUUACCAAAAACACAGGUCUCCGCUAAGUUGCAAAACGAUGUAUGGGGGCUGACGCCUGCCCAGUGCCGGAAGGUUAAAGAAGUUGGUCAGGGAUUCGUCCUGAAGCUAGCGACUGAAGCCCCGGUGAACGGCGGCCGUAACUAUAACGGUCCUAAGGUAGCGAAAUUCCUUGUCGGGUAAGUUCCGACCCGCACGAAAGGCGUAACGAUUUGGGCGCUGUCUCGGAGAGAGGCUCGGCGAAAUAGGAUUGUCUGUGAAGAUACGGACUACCUGCACCUGGACAGAAAGACCCUAUGAAGCUUUACUGUAGCCUGGAAUUGGGUUCGGGCUUUAACUGCGCAGGAUAGGUGGGAGGCUAUGAGCCAAUCCUUGUGGGGAUUGGGGAGCCAACGGUGAGAUACCACUCUGUUAAGGCUAGAAUUCUAACCUUCACCCGUAAUCCGGGGAGGGAACAGUUUCAGGUGGGCAGUUUGACUGGGGCGGUCGCCUCCUAAAUGGUAACGGAGGCGCGCAAAGGUUCUCUCAGGCUGGUUGGAAAUCAGCCGUAGAGUGUAAAAGCACAAGAGAGCUUGACUGUGAGACGAACAUGUCGAGCAGGGACGAAAGUCGGCUUUAGUGAUCCGACGGCGCUGCGUGGAAAGGCCGUCGCUAAACGGAUAAAAGUUACUCUAAGGAUAACAGGCUGAUCUCCCCCAAGAGUUCACAUCGACGAGGAGGUUUGGCACCUCGAUGUCGGCUCAUCGCAACCUGGGGCGGUAGUACGUCCCAAGGGUUGGGCUGUUCGCCCAUUAAAGCGGUACGUGAGCUGGGUUCAGAACGUCGUGAGACAGUUCGGUCCAUAUCCGGUGCAGGCGCAAGAGUAUUGAGAGGAGUCUUCCUUAGUACGAGAGGACCGGGAAGAACGCACCGCUGGUGUACCAGUUAUCGUGCCAACGGUAAACGCUGGGUAGCCAAGUGCGGAGUGGAUAACCGCUGAAAGCAUCUAAGUGGGAAGCCCACCUCAAGAUGAGUACUCUCAUGGUGUUAAACCAGUAAGGUCACGCGGAGAACACGCGUUGAUAGGCUCUAGGUGGAAGUGCAGUAAUGUAUGCAGCCGAGGAGUACUAAUAGACCGAGGGCUUGAU